AAAAAGGCAAACCCUGAGUUUCCGUGUCCAACUUUGACUGUCCGUCUUAUAUAAAUUUUUUUUAUAAUUCGUAUUUUCAUUGUUGUUAGAUGAUAAAACAUGAUUAAUAUUUUAUGUGUGACUUGUCUUUUUAAUUUUUUUCAUAAUUUUUUUAAAUAAGACGGACGGUCAAACGUUGGGCACGGAAACCAGGGUUUGUCUUAUU
Molecule: microRNA precursor, 205 nt
Filed under: Oryza glumipatula
Lineage: Eukaryota; Viridiplantae; Streptophyta; Magnoliopsida; Poales; Poaceae
Description: MIR812 microRNA precursor family
Rfam family: MIR812 microRNA precursor family
Source: Rfam by way of RNAcentral